UGAAACAGACAGCAAGUUAGAGCAAAUGGAGCAAUAUUUAGUGCUAAGCCUUAGACCCAGGGGAGGGUAAUCACCAACACGGGCCAAGCCGUAAUGACUUGGUACACCCAGAGAAGGCUGGGCUGCAGCCAGGCAGAUAACCUAAGGGACUGCUGCUGUUCUCUCCCGGCACACACACAUGCUCAUCACUCAGCGCCUGGCGAGAUCAGGGCUGGAGUGACACAGGCAUGCAUCCAAUACCUGAUCCAGAAAUAGGCCCUGGCUGCAGGCACAGCAAGUAAACAAACGUCCCGCCAGCUGUGGCCGAGGUGCACCCUUCCAAGCAGACCUGCCCACCAGGACCAUUGCUGGAAGACGGAAGCCCUGGAGCCUCUCCCUGGCCCUGUUUUGGAAGGAGUCCUCCAAGGCUGAGAACAGCCCCAGCCACAUGAAGCAGAACAAGUAGAAUCAUGUAUGGCAGAUCGUAUUUUCCAAAGAUGGCCAAAUCAGUGUAUCCCAUCCCACUCAUUCAUGUUCCAGUGUGAUGUGGACACUCCUCCCCUGAGAUCUUCGGUCAAUAUUCCCUCCCUUUGAACCUGGGCAAACCUAUGUAACUGCCUCGCUAAUAGAGUACAGCAUAAAUAAUGGGACUUCUGAGGCAAGGUCAUAAAAGCACUCCACCUGGGGUCUCUCUCUCUCUCUCAGCAUGCUCCUUGGUAGUUGUGAGCCGGCAUGUAAGAAGUCGGCCACAGAGAGGUAGAGAAGCCCAGGGAGUCCCAGCUGUUUGAGUCUUCCCACCCCAGGCAUCAGACAUAUAAGUAAGUAAUUCAAAUGAUUUCAUCCCCCAGUUUUUAAGCUGUCCCAGGUGACACCAAGUGGUACAAAGACAAGCUGUCCCUGCAAAGCCCUGCAGAUUCAAUAAAUGUCAUGGUUUAAACCACUAAGUUUUGGGUUGAUUUGUUACUCAGCAAUAGAUAACCAAUGCACCAUAAGCUAAGCUUCAGGUUUUAAGUAGCUAAUUUUUAAGUAUUUUAUUUUGCAGCCCCCUCUAGUCUGCAACGGUUGCAGAAUUUAAUACUUAUGCUGGCUACAGUAGGGAGAGGGGCAAAAUUGGACACAGGAGACCAGCUGUGAGGUGGUUGCAGUUGUCUAAGAAAGAGAUGAUAGUACUUGAGGACUUUUUCAACUUAGGAUGUAGAAUACUGCAAGAAAAUGUCCCUUCCGUCCUAACAAUGUGAAAAAGCAGGUACAAAAUCAUAACUUUUCUUGAGCCCAUCAGAAAGCCAAGGCCACAAGGCAACCAAAUAAAGGAGAGAUAGUGUUAGGGGAGCUGAGUUCAUAGAAAUGAAUAGGAGUGAGAGGAAAUAGAAGGAGAGAUAGUGACCCAUCAACUGUUUCAACUUUGGCAAAGAUGUGGCUGUCUUACAAGUGGGUAAGAAAAAGACAAUAAAAAUGUUAACAAAUUUGUAAAGUCCACAUGUGGCCUAGCAUAUCAGUUUAGAAUAGCUGAAUAGGAUUCUAGACACGAGAGUGCAUGCAAAGGCAACCUUUCUUCUACAGGCCUUCCCUGGGGUUCAUGGAGAAAAGUGGGAACAGGUCA
Molecule: long non-coding RNA, 1579 nt
Filed under: Pan troglodytes (chimpanzee)
Lineage: Eukaryota; Metazoa; Chordata; Mammalia; Primates; Hominidae
Description: long non-coding RNA NONPTRT005593
Source: RNAcentral